RNAcentral lists this RNase P RNA (342 nucleotides) under Alphaproteobacteria bacterium. RNAcentral's name for it is "RNase P RNA component class A". It matches the Rfam family "Bacterial RNase P class A". From Rfam's summary of the family: Ribonuclease P (RNase P) is a ubiquitous endoribonuclease, found in archaea, bacteria and eukarya as well as chloroplasts and mitochondria. Its best characterised activity is the generation of mature 5'-ends of tRNAs by cleaving the 5'-leader elements of precursor-tRNAs. Lineage: Bacteria; Pseudomonadati; Pseudomonadota; Alphaproteobacteria. The record is from RNAcentral.
UCAGGUGGCUGGAUGGUCGCUGUCGGCUCGCCGGCAGAGGAAAGUCCGGGCUCCAUGGAAAUACGGUGCCGGGUAACGCCCGGCGAGGGAAACCUUAGGGAAAGUGCCACAGAAAAUAUACCGCCAUUUUAUUUGGUAAGGUUGAAAAGGUGAGGUAAGAGCUCACCGUACUUUUUGGUAACAAUAAGUAGCUAGGCAAACCCCACUUGGAGCAAGGCCAAAUAGAGAUUCAAUGAAGCUAUCCGCUUAGAAUCUGGGUAGGCCGCUAGAAGUUUAUGGCGACAUAAGCUCAAGAUGAAUGAUUACUACAAACAGAACCCGGCUUAUGAGUCAGCUCAUCUG